Rhododendron vialii is the source of this 114-nucleotide small nuclear RNA. RefSeq annotates it as U5 spliceosomal RNA. Lineage: Eukaryota; Viridiplantae; Streptophyta; Magnoliopsida; Ericales; Ericaceae. The record is from RefSeq and is a predicted model, not a curated record. The transcript has a single exon.
GUCUUCCGGUACAAAGCGAACUACUCUUUCGCCUUUUACUAAAGAGUACCGUGUGCUCGCCGCUCUAAGUGGCAUAUGCCAAUUUUUGGAGGGGUCCUUCCUUUGGGUAAGGAC